CCAGGAGAUGGUAACAAUUGGGGUCAUGAGGGGAUAUGACUGCUACAAUCUCCCAUCAUCAAAAACAAAAACAGGAAUCUACACUCGGCUGGGAAGUGAGAGACUCAAAACAACGUGAGAAGUAGAAAGCGGGCAAGUUUGUUGGGGCCAUAUGUAACUUCAUGAAUAUCACUGUUUCAAGGACUAAGUUAUAAGUUUUACCCUUUUCAGAUAAGGAAAACAGAGUGUGAGUGGGGUUAGAAAGAGGAAAAACAGCAAGCCAAGUUGAAUCACUCAUCCUGAGAGGCAUUCAAAUACAGAGUUAUGGAGAAAGCGACUUUCCUCCACAAGGGUAAACCCCUCAACAGCAGCUGGUAAACCUCAGUCCACAGCGCAGAGUGUGAGAAAGGGAAGAUUUCAAACAACUUAAAUACAAAGAAAACACUUUUUUAAAACAUUAGUGAUUCUUUUCCACAUUUCCCUUUAGGCUCUAUUCAUACGGAAAAUAUUCCGCUACACCUCACAGCAAUAUAUCUUAUUUUUUUUAAUAUGCAGCAACCGUCAGCCAACUCAUAGCUGAAGCAGGGACACUGUGCAGCUCUUGGAGCUUGUUCUUAGUAUGUGUUCAGAGGGCUAAUACUCUGUCAAGCAGGGCGGAUGAUAGCCAGAGCAAACAGCCACGGUCCCCACGGUGGAAAAUAACGUUGCCAGAAAAUUCCGCACAUCUGGAAAGAACAGCAAUGAACAGGAACUUGUGCAUUCGUGCUAGGCUCCUACUGGGCCCGCUUCGUUUCAUUUCCUCCAUUUUUAUGACACUUUCCCAUGCUGCUACUCCAGACAUUCCAUCAAACACCUCGCCACGAACAAAUUGAAAGGGAAGGAAAUCUAAAGAAAGUCUGACUGAAUUUCUGAGUGUCUCAUCACUAGAAUGACCAGGAAAACCUGCCAGGAGUGUAGAUUCAGGCCCCUAAUCCCACUUCUCUGCAGUCUCCUCUUGGUCUCUGUGUAUAAGCUCUCCUGCCUUUUUGCACCUCUAAUCCAUUGUCAGACAAACUGGCCUACUUGUGUUUGCCUCUGAGAGCCUGUCCACUUCCUCACGUUAGGAGAAAGAACACAAAGAAUCCUAGCUUUGAUUCAGUUUUCCAUACUUCAGCCAUCAGUCUACCAUCAAGCACAUUUUUUACUGGGCAAAUGAAAAGUCAUUGCUUUCAAUUUUUUUUUUUUUUUUUUAGACUGAAU
This 1218-nucleotide long non-coding RNA is filed under the name Homo sapiens (human). Its description in RNAcentral is "non-protein coding LINC02374:12". Lineage: Eukaryota; Metazoa; Chordata; Mammalia; Primates; Hominidae. The record is from RNAcentral.